GUAGGUGGCAAGCGUUGUCCGGAAUUAUUGGGCGUAAAGCGCGCGCAGGCGGUUCUUUAAGUCUGAUGUGAAAGCCCACGGCUCAACCGUGGAGGGUCAUUGGAAACUGGAGAACUUGAGUACAGAAGAGGAAAGCGGAAUUCCACGUGUAGCGGUGAAAUGCGUAGAGAUGUGGAGGAACACCAGUGGCGAAGGCGGCUUUCUGGUCUGUAACUGACGCUGAGGCGCGAAAGCGUGGGGGAGCAAACAGGAUUAGAUACCCUGGUAGUCCACGCCGUAAACGAUGAGUGCAAGUGUUAGGGGGUUUUCCGCCCCCUUAGUGCUGCAGCUAACGCAUUAAGCACUCCCGCCCUGGGAGUACGGCCGCAAGGCUG
Molecule: ribosomal RNA, 374 nt
Filed under: uncultured organism
Description: partial 16S ribosomal RNA
Rfam family: Bacterial small subunit ribosomal RNA
Source: RNAcentral